Molecule: long non-coding RNA, 5488 nt
Filed under: Zea mays
Lineage: Eukaryota; Viridiplantae; Streptophyta; Magnoliopsida; Poales; Poaceae
Description: long non-coding RNA (ZMAY_LNC000838)
Source: RNAcentral
GCGCGCAGGAAAGAGGGAGGCUGAAGAGCGAGCUGGAAGCCACGGCGCUGGGCAGAGCCCGGACGGACGAGCGCGCAGGGACGAACAGGCGAGGCGACAGCGCGAGCAGGGAGGAGCUCGAGCGUGCCAUAGCCGAAGAAAGAGUUCUAGCCAGGGAGAAGAAAGUCUGCGCGGUCAGCCGAACUGGAACCGGCGUGCGCAGAGAGCACCGAGCGCCAGGGAGUUUGCAGAGGAGACCGACGCAAAGAGCCGGCCAUGGAGGGAGAUCCGAGCGAGUAGAAAUCCGGGCGCCGAGCAGAGGAAGAACGAUCUGCGUAGGGGAGGAAGAAGCUGCACAGCAUGGAGACUCAGAGGGCUGGGGCGAGUUCGUCAAGGAGCAGAGGGGCUGGGGCACCAUGGGGAAGAACCUCGGCGCGCAGAGCUCCACGGCGAGCCAGGCGAGCAGAGGGAACCAGCAGCGGGCGAGACCUGGGACAGGGAGGAGGAAGCGGCUGGGAUGGGCGCGUAGAGCAGCAGGGCAAGGCCGCGGUCAGGCGAGAUCCGAACAGAGAAGCUCCGGCCAGGGGCGAGCGAUCGGCCGGCGAUGGAGCAGGCGGCCAUGGGAAGGGCAGAGGAAGCGCCGACAGAGGAGGGAGAUGAAGACGCCAGCAGCAAAAAAUCAGAGGAGGGAGAGGAUAGGGAUGGCACGCCGUCAGGAACAAAAAUCAGGAAGCAGAUGAUUUGCUGCUGCGCGGGGAAGAGCCAUUUGGCUGGGAAGAAGAAGGAGCUGGACGACUUCAGCAGAUUUUCCUCUGCAGCGGCUGGAGAUAACCACGGCUGGAAUUUAUCCAUUGCUAGAAAGCGGCGCAGGGAUUUGUUCACGAGCUUGAGCGGCAUCAAAAAAAAUCCCACCCGAGGAUAAGGAAGAAGAGGAUUUGAGCGGUAAGAAUUUUCUCUUCUUUUUUUUAAUUUCUUUUCUUCUCUUUUUCUCAAAAAAUAUUAAUACUAGAAUUAGAGUUUUGGUGAGACAUUAUCAGAAUACAAUACUUGAGAUACUACUAAUUGGGUUGAACUCGGAUAAAAAAAACUUAUCUGUUCCGAUUUUCUUAGCGAUGUUUACGAUGUAGACUGUAAUUGUGACACGGUUUUGAUUUGACGAAUACUCGGGAGUCGGAUGAAUUCGUACCGUUAAUUCACCUUUUUAAAUCAAGGCGAAAAGCAACGGACCGAAUUAAACAUAUUCCGGCUUUGUUAAUUUUGCUCUGCGUGAUUUAAUUCAGUUGACUUCAGAUGAUUUCCGUUUGCUACUCGAAUACUCGACUAAACAAUUCAAUUGAAAUCCGUAGACGCAAUGUCACGGAUAACAAAAAGGGGAUUAAAUUAUUUUACCCCGAAAACUUAGUCGUCGAGUUUGACUAAUUUGCCCGGGAUAAAAAUCACCCAGUGGGUCGAGCUUCCGAAUUCAUGUCCGUGCGAGCGAUGAAUUUUUAAAUCAUUAUCGGACGCACCGAUUUUCGGAACAACGAUGUUCUGGACAUCACGAAAAUCUAAGAAGAGCCCGGGUAGAUAAAAAUAAAAACGACGUCGCACUUGCGACAGACGGAACAGAUGCGAUAUUAAAAUCGCGAUAGACGAAGAUGAUUAGAAUUUAGCAUCUGUUUUAUGCACUGAUAUUACGUGCUUAAUCCCAUACUCGUUGUCGAGCGGAAUAUAAACACCUGGAGUGUUACAUAUGACAUGUGGGGCCAGUGGCACACAAAGAACGGGUAUAUUUUCCGAUGGCAUACAGGGAAUUGGCCCCAUAUGACUAUGGUCAGUACCAACGUAUCUAAUUUUGACACUAAGAUGAGUUAGUGACCAUGAUUAGACAAAGAGCAUGAUUGUGUUCAUGUUUCGUUGCAUGUUUAUGUCAAGUUCAAUUCAACAGAUCAUUCCCAAUGCAUGCUGGCCUGGCCUACAUGGACCAUAACAAAUUAACAAUGACAAAGAAGACUCAACGCCAUCAGUUCUUGUUUAUCUAUAGCAGGAAGACUCAUUCUGAUCAACUCUACUUUCUCGACGAUGCCCAUCUUUGCAAUGUGUACCCUUAAGAAUCCGGUAACGGUCAUUAACGCCAUUGACUGUAUCAGAAGGGGUUGUCUCUGGUGCGGCAGCAAUGAAAAUGUGCACCAAAAUCCUCUGGUCGCCUGGAACAAAGUUUGUUGUCUCAGAAAUAGAGGGGGCUUGGGGUUCCCAAUCUAAAGAUUCAUAACACAACCCUCUUGCUCAAAUUCAUUCACAAAUUCUAUGGCAGAAAAGACAUUUCUUGGAUAAAUCUUAUUUGGGCCACUCACUACUCUGGGGUAAGAUCCCCCAUGCCUAUCCAGAAACAGGCUCUUUCUAGUGGAAGGAUGUUUUUAGGUUGGUUGAUUAUUUCAGAGGGCAUGAUAUGCCCUAGGUUGGGAUGGAAGGACAAUUCUGCUAUUGUUUGGAACAAUAUCUCCCCCAGAUUCACCUUCCCUUGUCUUUUCUCCUUUUCCAAGAAAAAGGAAUGCUCACUUCAAGAAUUAUUAGCCAACAUAGAUAUGGAGCACAAUUUCCAUACUCCUUUAUCUCCUCAGGCUGCUCAUGAAUGCCUAGCUUUCCACGAGCUAAUGAGCACUCUUCAGAAUUCUGCAACUGCUAAAGAUAAAUGGACCUAUUCAUGGGGCAAUACUACUUUCAGCUCAUCCAAGUUCUAUAGUCUCACUUUUUAGUCAAUCUAGCCUCUCGUUGCCUUUAAUUGGAUUUGCUAGUCCAAGGUUGGGAAGAAACUCAAGAUUUUUGUAUGGUUGGUCUUCAGGGACAGAAUCAACUCCAAGAACAUCCUCAGAAGAAAGGGUUUCUUUCCACUAGACAGCAACCUUGAAUGCACUCUGUGCGACAUGCACUGCGAAGAGACGACUUAUCACCUGCUGUUUUGCUGCCCCUUCAGUACAGAUUGCUAGAGUUAUGUGGGUCUCCAUUGGAAUCAUAAUUUUGACUUCUUUCUGAUGAUUUAUGAGGCUAAGGGUGCUUUUGGCCAUAGUUUCUUUAUGGAAGUUCUGGCGCUUGUGUUUUGGUGCAUUUGGAAGUAGAGGAAUGAAUUCAUCUUUAGGAGUGAGGCUCCUUCUUUUUCUUCUUGGCGACACAGUUUCAACGACAUGUUGAAGUCGCAAAUGCUGAGAUUUAACCUUCUUUUAGAGCUAAGCUAUUGAUUUGGCUAAAUUAUCGAUAGCUUUUGUUGUUGCCUUCUUUGCUUCCACUUGUAAUCGUAUUUUCAUUCCAAAAGUUUCAAUAAAAUCGCAUUGUAGGGGGUUUCUGUGAUACCCAGUUUGCAAAGAAGAGAAGUUGGAGUUUAUUUCUUUCUUGUUGUUUUUUUUGCUUCUCUUUCGGGUAGUGCGCUUUUCGGGUUUGGAAUUUUUGGGUAGCAUUCGCCAGUAAAAUAGUAGAAUUUUGGUUAGUCUCGGGCGUCGGGGUCGGGAGUUGACGCGUGAGCGAGUUGGGCCGCGGUUCUUGAUCCGGCCCACUAAUUCCCCUAACCCUAGCCCCCCUCCCCCUAAUUCCCUUCCCCUUGUGCAGCCCCCCCCCCCACUCUCUCUAGCCUUUGGCCGCCACCCCCUCUCCCUAAUUCCCUCUCUCUUGUGCAGCCCCCCCCCCCCUCUCCCAUCUCCUCCUCUCCAAGUGUCGUUCUUCCUCGCCGGAUCUUCUUCGUGUUGGUGCAAGUUCCGAUUGGAGAAUUGGUGGGAGGAAGGAAGGAGGAAAGGAGGAACCCAAUGUGACUUUGUAAUUAUCUUUUGUUGUUUUUGUGCUGCAAUCAAAUUGAUUAUAUGUUUACCUAUGCGAAUUGGUAGAGGUGCUGUCCAGAAAUUUUGUGGGUGGACGAACAGCAAUAGCAUUAGCAGUUUCUGGGGAUUUUUCAUGGAAAAUUAGUGAUAAUCAAUAUGAUAAUCAUGUAGAGCUUUGUCAUACCUUUCUAACGAGUACUUAUGCGCUCGAUUCGGAGUUAUAUUUUAGGAGAUAUCGCUGUUUGAAUCCGGGUAUGUGGCUGUCCAAAAAACAGAUUUCUACAGGUGGGCGAACAGCAGUAGUAUUAGCAGUUUCUGAGGAUUUUUCGUGGGAAAUUAGUGAUAAUCAAUAUGAGAAUCAUGUAUAGCUUUGUCAAAUCUUUCUAACGAGUACUUAUCCGCUUGAUUCGGAGUUAUAAUUUAGGAGAUAUCGCUGUUUGAAUCCGGAUAUAUUGCUGUCCAAAAACAGAUUGCAGGAUGUACCUUGUGGAUGAUUUUGGGCUAAUUAGAUUUUGGGAUUUAAUUAUAAAUUGUAUACAAAACUUGUGGGGAAUUUUAUGUAGAUGCCUCUGGAGUUUUUGUUGGUUACCACUGCUGUCAUAAUUUUAAAGAUAUAAAAUGGUUAAGCAGCGCCGCUGCAGUUUGGUGGGUGUGGAGAGAGUUGUUAUCCGCGACGGGGUUUGAAGUUGUGCGUAGGUGUGGCAUCGUUUAUGAGCAUUGUUAUGUGAAAUUUGUGCACUAAAUUGUGUGUCAAAAAUAUGUAGUGGACUUCCGGAUCGUACUUAGGGCUUUGUCCAAACUUCCCGGUGAAGGCAAGUAAAAAUUUGUGGUGGUUAUUCCGUCGAUCGAUUAAUGUGGCUUAUACUUGAUUACAUUUAUGCUAUUUGUGUUCAUACUCAUAUUCCUUGUUGGGUACCAUCAUUUGAAGAUAUAUAUGUUCUAUUGAUUACAUAUGUGAGGGUGUAAUUUGAUCAUGUUAUUCAUGUUGUUUAUCAUUUGGAAAGGGUGGAAGUAUAUGUUUCCCACAUUUUUUUUUUGAGGAGGACUCAUGUGUUGACAUGCAUAGUGCAUUCAUCAUCUUUUGCAUGAAAGUUUCGUCGUGAUUUUAUGGUCCGACCGUAUUGGUACAAUAAGCAUCAUACGUUGCCCGAGAAGGGGUAUGAUGCAGCUUCAUAUCCUUAGAGGUAUGAAGGCAGAAGUAAUUACUGCAUCUGUAGCCAUGUGCAUUCAUGGGUGAAGUGUGGCACCUGUCAUGGUGGAGCGGAUAAUGUGGAUCUUUUAUUUAUGAUUCAUUUUGGAACUGAGUAAUUAGUACUUGUUUACUUGCUGCAAUUUAAUAUUCAAGAGGGAGAUUGUGAACUACGUGGUUGUUUAAGCACGACUUAUUUACAUUGUCCAGUCGUUGUUGAUCUUUUUACUUGCUGAGAUGUGUCAUCUCACUCUUGCAUUGUCUGAUGCAGGCACUUGAUCCUUGCUUUUGGGAAAGGAGGGAAGUAGAAGCACGGCCACUACACAUUUAAAUAAAUGUACCACUACUUAGUAAUGUUGUUAAACAGGGGUGCAAGCUUAGAGGAUUAAUAUGUUCUAGUCUUCAUGAUAGUCAAAUUUGCUUUUGGGUUGGUCGGAUUCCUUCUCUUUUUAUUUGGUCAUGACUAUUCAUUGCUAUCUCUGCAUUCUGUUUAUACUACGUGGAUUAUCAUUCCUUUUCAUUAUGUAUAAACUUU